AUUGAACGCUGGCGGCAGGCCUAACACAUGCAAGUCGAACGAGUGGCGGACGGGUGAGUAAUGUCUGGGAAACUGCCUGAUGGAGGGGGAUAACUACUGGAAACGGUAGCUAAUACCGCAUACCAUCAGAUGUGCCCAGAUGGGAUUAGCUAGUUGGUGGGGUAACGACUCACCAAGGCGACGAUCCCUAGCUGGUCUGAGAGGAUGACCAGCCACACUGGAACUGCUACACUGUCAAGACUCCUACGGGAGGCAGCAGUGGGGAAUAUUGCACAAUAGGCUGAAGCCUGAUGCAGCCAUGCCGCGUGUAUUGAGAAAGCCUUCGAGUUGUAAAGUACUUUCAGCGGGGAGGCGUUACCCGCAGAAGAAGCACCGGCUAACUCCGUGCCAGCCACCGCGGUAAUAC
This 406-nucleotide ribosomal RNA is filed under the name uncultured bacterium. Its description in RNAcentral is "partial 16S ribosomal RNA". It matches the Rfam family "Bacterial small subunit ribosomal RNA", at positions 30 to 526 of the family's 1533-position model. The record is from RNAcentral.